CUUUGGGACUGUUGAUGUAGCAGUCUGUAAGAUUUCUCUGUAUGAAGAGGAAAAGGACAGAAAAAUGCAGCCUUUAUUUUGGCCUUAUCAGCUGUAAAAACCUCACCUUAUUUUGUAGGAGAAUGGCAGUUGAUUGAAAAUAUCCUGUAUGUGAAUCUCCCUGGCUCUUCCUCAUUGCAGCAAACAUCAACUGGGCAAGUAAUUGUCUGCUUUUCUUUCCUGGUGUUUCUAGCAUUUCCUUUCUGUCCUCCAUUCU
This 256-nucleotide long non-coding RNA is filed under the name Parus major (Great Tit). RNAcentral's name for it is "lncRNA (ENSPMJG00000011859.1)". The record is from RNAcentral. Lineage: Eukaryota; Metazoa; Chordata; Aves; Passeriformes; Paridae.